UUAGAAGUAGUAUAAUUAACUACGUUUUGCUUACAAUAAAAAAUUGGCUUAGCCCUUCUGGC
Molecule: transfer RNA, 62 nt
Filed under: Tigriopus kingsejongensis
Lineage: Eukaryota; Metazoa; Arthropoda; Copepoda; Harpacticoida; Harpacticidae
Description: tRNA-Val
Source: RNAcentral